AUUGAACGCUGGCGGCAUGCCUUACACAUGCAAGUCGAACGGCAGCACGGGAGCAAUCCUGGUGGCGAGUGGCGAACGGGUGAGUAAUAUAUCGGAACGUGCCCAGUCGUGGGGGAUAACGCAGCGAAAGUUGUGCUAAUACCGCAUACGAUCUAUGGAUGAAAGCGGGGGAUCGCAAGACCUCGCGCGAUUGGAGCGGCCGAUAUCAGAUUAGGUUGUUGGUGAGGUAAAAGCUCACCAAGCCUGCGAUCUGUAGCUGGUCUGAGAGGACGACCAGCCACACUGGAACUGAGACACGGUCCAGACUCCUACGGGAGGCAGCAGUGGGGAAUUUUGGACAAUGGACGAAAGUCUGAUCCAGCAAUGCCGCGUGCAGGACGAAGGCCUUCGGGUGUAACUGCUUUGUACAGAACGAAAAGUACUUAAUAACACUAGAGGCUCAUGACGGUACUGUAAGAAUAAGCACCGGCUAACUACCG
RNAcentral lists this ribosomal RNA (479 nucleotides) under uncultured bacterium. RNAcentral's name for it is "bacterial SSU rRNA". It matches the Rfam family "Bacterial small subunit ribosomal RNA", at positions 30 to 506 of the family's 1533-position model. The record is from RNAcentral.